Molecule: long non-coding RNA, 699 nt
Filed under: Homo sapiens (human)
Lineage: Eukaryota; Metazoa; Chordata; Mammalia; Primates; Hominidae
Description: non-protein coding LINC00174:13
Source: RNAcentral
CUGGAGCUGCGCUGGUUUUUCCUCGGAGUGGAGCCUGGUAACCGCGACUUCCCCGCCAUGUUCUGUGUGUUGCUGGCUGGAGAAGGGUGGUUGACAAACUCCGACCCAGCACAGUGUUUCUGUGGGUCAAAACUAGAAAACUAUGUCCAGGCUCGGCCGAGGCGGAAGGAUCCGUUCAGGCCAGGAGUUAAAGAGCUGCCUGGGCAACAUGGCGCGACCCCAUCUCUGUAGUCCCACCUCAGCUUCCCAGAUACUUGAACCCCAAGGUUCAAGGCUGCAAUGAGCUAUGAUCCCAUCACAGCACUCCAUCCUGCGAGACGGAGAGACGGGGUUUCACCAUGUUGGCCAGGCUGGUCUGGAACUCCUGACUUGAAGUAAUCUGCCCACCUCGGCUUCCCAAAGUGCUGGGAUUACAGGCGUGAGCCACUGCGCCUGGCCCCUUCAGGUGGGUAUUGAGGCUUCACUACAAUACUAGUUCCCCGUUGCUGCCGCAAUAAAUUACCACACACUUAGUGGCUUAAAACAGCAUAGAGGUAUUCCUUUACAUUUCUGAAGGCCAGAAUUCUAAAGUCAGUCCCACUGAGUCAAGGUGGGAGCAGGGUCAGUGCCUUUCCAGGCUCUGCGGGAGAAUCCGUUUCCUGGCCCUGGAGGCGGCCUGUACUCCUCAGCUUGUGCUGCCCUUCUCGAAUGACUCGCGUU